Molecule: transfer RNA, 85 nt
Filed under: Acidobacteriota bacterium
Lineage: Bacteria; Pseudomonadati; Acidobacteriota
Also listed under: 3 other names
Description: tRNA-Leu
Rfam family: tRNA
About the family: Transfer RNA (tRNA) molecules are approximately 80 nucleotides in length. Their secondary structure includes four short double-helical elements and three loops (D, anti-codon, and T loops).
Source: RNAcentral
GCCGAAGUGGCGGAACUGGCAGACGCGCACGGUUGAGGGCCGUGUGAGGCAACUCGUGGGGGUUCGAGUCCCCCCUUCGGCACCA